UGGGGAAUUUUCCGCAAUGGGCGCAAGCCUGAUCCAGCAAUACCGCGUGUGUGAAGAAGGCCCUCGGGUUGUAAAGCACUUUCAGUAGAGAGGAAAAGCCUGGAGUUAAUACCUCCGGGUCUUGACGUAACCUACAGAAGAAGCACCGGCUAACUCCGUGCCAGCAGCCGCGGUAAUACGGAGGGUGCGAGCGUUAAUCGGAAUUACUGGGCGUAAAGCGCGCGUAGGCGGUUAUGUAAGUCGGAUGUGAAAGCCCCGGGCUUAACCUGGGAACUGCAUUCGAAACUGCAUGACUGGAGUAUGGGAGAGGGAAGUGGAAUUUCCGGUGUAGCGGUGAAAUGCGUAGAUAUCGGAAGGAACACCAGUGGCGAAGGCGACUUCCUGGCCCAAUACUGACGCUGAGGUGCGAAAGCGUGGGGAGCAAACAGGAUUAGAUACCCCUGUAGUCC
This 449-nucleotide ribosomal RNA is filed under the name uncultured prokaryote. RNAcentral describes it as "bacterial SSU rRNA". It matches the Rfam family "Bacterial small subunit ribosomal RNA", at positions 355 to 796 of the family's 1533-position model. The record is from RNAcentral.